This 458-nucleotide ribosomal RNA is filed under the name uncultured Sphingobacteriales bacterium. Its description in RNAcentral is "bacterial SSU rRNA". It matches the Rfam family "Bacterial small subunit ribosomal RNA", at positions 923 to 1382 of the family's 1533-position model. Lineage: Bacteria; Pseudomonadati; Bacteroidota; Sphingobacteriia; Sphingobacteriales. The record is from RNAcentral.
GCACAAGCGGAGGAACAUGUGGUUUAAUUCGAUGAUACGCGAGGAACCUUACCUGGCUUAAAUGUAGAGUGCAUUUUUUAGAGAUAGAAAUUCCCUUCGGGGCUUUCUGCAAGGUGCUGCAUGGUUGUCGUCAGCUCGUGCCGUGAGGUGUCGGGUUAAGUCCCAUAACGAGCGCAACCCUUAUCGUUAGUUGCCAUCUGGUAAUGCAGGGGACUCUAGCGAAACUGCCACCGUAAGGUGAGAGGAAGGUGGGGAUGACGUCAAAUCAGCACGGCCCUUAUGUCCAGGGCUACACACGUGUUACAAUGGUCGGUACAGAGGGCAGCUACCUGGUGACAGGAUGCUAAUCUCGAAAACCGGUCUCAGUUCGGAUCGAAGUCUGCAACUCGACUUCGUGAAGCUGGAUUCGCUAGUAAUCGCGCAUCAGCUAUGGCGCGGUGAAUACGUUCCCGGGCCUU